GAUGAACGCUGGCGGCGGGCCUAAUACAUGCAAGUCGAGCGAACGGACGAGAAGCAGGCUCGUCUGAUGUUAGCGGCGGACGGGUGAGUAACACGGGGAUAACCUACCUAUAAGACUGGGAUAACUUCGGGAAACCGGAGCUAAUACCGGAUAAUAUUUUGAACUGCAUGGUUCAAAAGUGAAAGACGGUCUUUCUGUCACUUAUAGAUGGAUCCGCGCGGCAUUAGCUAGUUGGUAAGGUAACGGCUUACCAAGGCGACGAUGCUUAGCCGACAUGAGAGGGAGGACGGCCACACUGGAACUGAGACUCGGUCCAGACUCCUACGGGAGGACGCAGUAGAGAAUCUUACGCAAUGGGCCAGAGCCUGACGGAGCAACGCCGCGUGAGGGAUGACGGUCUUCUGAUCGUAAAACGCUGUUAUUAGGGAAGAAGAUAUGUGUAAGUACCUGUGCACAUCUUGACGGUACCUAAUCAGAAAGCCACGGCUAACUACGUG
RNAcentral lists this ribosomal RNA (497 nucleotides) under uncultured bacterium. Its description in RNAcentral is "partial 16S ribosomal RNA". It matches the Rfam family "Bacterial small subunit ribosomal RNA", at positions 28 to 507 of the family's 1533-position model. The record is from RNAcentral.